GCAGUAGGGGCAGGGCCUCCCUCUCCCUUCCCCCCUUUCUCCUUCUCCCCAUCUCUUACAUUGGCCAAAACAGACUGAGUAGAAUUCCAGAGGAUUUAGGGAAUGGUACCUAGGUAUGGGUGAAGAAUCUCUGGGUGGAAAGGAUGAAUGAGUUCCUUAAACCAAUGGAAUUCCAGAUUUUUUCAUCAACUGAUACCUCUUCUCAAGAAAAGAAAACAAAAGCAAAACACGGAACAACAUGACUGAAGAAAUUGAGCUUCAAAGAAGUUAAUGUGUUCCCAGUUAUAUAUGUGAUAUUGCUGGAGUAGGGGCUUUUCUGUCUCCAAAUAUAGUGAUGCCUUUUCUAUGCUUAACCCUGUCCAAGGGUUCUGAAGUCUCAUAAUCAACCUAAAGCCAGAAUAUCAAGCAUCAGGAUCUAACAAACUCAAACCACAGUGAAACAUGGCCUUCUACUACUGGUCCAGAAAGUAGUUAUUGAGGUAAUUAAAGAGAGGUGAACAUGCUACUGACAUCUUAAUGGGAAAACAUUAAGGUGAUGAUUUCUUGUGUUUUUGCUGCCUCCUGACAUUGGUGAAGUACAUGAUAUUUUAAAUAUAACAAAUGUAGUAAUAAGCUGAGAAAAAGUGUUAUAACUUUGGUAA
Long non-coding RNA from Sarcophilus harrisii (Tasmanian devil), 641 nucleotides. RefSeq lists it as uncharacterized. NCBI's taxonomy places the organism in Eukaryota, Metazoa, Chordata, Mammalia, Dasyuromorphia, Dasyuridae. The transcript is spliced from 3 exons. The record is from RefSeq and is a predicted model, not a curated record.